Molecule: long non-coding RNA, 5649 nt
Organism: Sarcophilus harrisii (Tasmanian devil)
Lineage: Eukaryota; Metazoa; Chordata; Mammalia; Dasyuromorphia; Dasyuridae
Source: Ensembl
UCAGGUAUAGAUUUGUUUCUCUCACUAUACCAUUAUUUUAAAAUUUAACAGUUUCAACUCGAUUGAGUAUGGAAAUCAAUCUUUACAGCUUCCCGUGCUUUGCUCCUGUGAAAUAAACAUCUCACCAAAAACAUAAAAUGUAGUAAUACCUUAAAAUUACAAAAGAACUAUCUAAAUGCCUAAUUAGUAAGUUAGAAAAUUCUUAUAUGUUUUACUCAAAAUGGGGGAGGAAUUUUAUUCAUAUAAGAAAUAUAUUUCUAAAGAAAGUAACUUUUCAUUUAAAUAUCAAUUUAGACUUGAAACCAGAAUCGGAAUUUAAAGGAUCAUCAGACAGAAGCAAAGAAAGUUUUGCUAAAAGAUAUCUGGGACAGGUAUAGAAAAUUGAUAUUGAAAUUUCUGAUUUUUCAUUUCAGUACAUGUAUAUUUUAUGUGCAUUUGAAUGUGUUUUUAGGAACUCAGUGCCCUUUGAAGUGUAUUUUUGUCUCAUUUGUGGAGGUGAAAUUUUCUUGGAAGUUAGCAGGACUAACAGCAAAACUUGAGCCUUUGUUGGGUAACAACCCACUAAAGAGGUGUCCCUUGAUAGUAUUGAUAGGGUUGAUGCUGACAUUUUUGCACCUUUCUAAUAUGAUAAGGAAACCAACUUAAACUACUUAAUUAUAUGAUGAUUUUCCCUUUAGUAGUCAAAAUAAUUGUGAUAACAUAAUUACCAUGCAUCUGGAUUCAUGUAACUUUAUUCUAAACUUUAUUGUCCAAUGGCAAAAUAAUCAUCUGAAAUUUCAAUGUCUAGAAAUGUAUGUUAUUUGAGAAAAAUAUCAGUGUGUAGAAGUGUUAAUAUAUGGUAUUAAAACAUGCCAUAAUAAUAAAAUCUUAGCAUUGAUGAUCAAUGUUAAUCUAAUUUAUCUUUAUCCCAAAUAACAAAUCUUCUCUGCAGUAUCUCCCAAAAGUAGUUCAAAUGUUUUUGUGACUGAAAAGUUACUACCCAAGUAAAGUGGCCAGCUUUCUAUUUGAAUGGCUCUAAUUGUUGGGGUUGUUUUCUUAUUAAGAAUUGUAACUGACCUUUCUACAAUUUUCAGGAAGGGGUACCAUUGACAUAACUUACAAGAUUAAGCUGAACAAAUCCAGCUCUUUCCCUACGUUCUAAGCCCCUAAUUACUUGAUGACUAUUACCCUGGAAUCCUUUGAAUGGUUUUCCUUGUAAUUAAGUUAUCCCUCCUUGCUUAGCAGUUUUACCUGUGCUAUGAAUAAUGGAUGACCUCUAAGGUCUCUUUUAUUCCUCUGAAAUACCCAUUUCUCUUGUCCUAUCUAAACAUAAUAAUACAGAUGUGUUUUUACCAAGACAGGAUAGAAGCCUGUCAUGUCUCAGUAAGGAUGCUGUCCUUCUUUUGUUGUUAUGGAAGCCAUAUCAUUUUGAAAUUAUGGCACAAUAACAAAUAGUUAGAGCUUUUGUUUCAGGAGACUUUUGAUGAAACAUUUUACUCCAGUGUGUGCAUACUGUGUACAGCUAAUUAUUUUGUUGCAACAGGUAUACACCUGUUGCAUCCAAUAAAAAAGGGAAAUGGCAAAAUUCAUUAUGUUUAAUCAGGAAAGAGUUAAUGAAAGAGGUAAUAAUUGGGGCUUAAUAAUAAUGGUGUCAUAUUUUGAUUGGCAGAAAGGAAGGAGGAAAACCUUCCAGGAGAGAGGAUAGGCAGAAGAAAGUAAGGAUGCUUGCAAGUAAUGUAAACUUUGAUGUUUAACUAAAAUAGAAGACCUGUCAUAAGAACAUAAAUUAUUUUCUGAAGGAAAGAUAGUGUGGAGAAUCACUGUCAUUUCUUAUGCAGUAUAAUAAUCAUUUGAAACAUAUUUUAAGAAAGCUCUUUGAAAAAAUGAUUUGUAAUAUAUUAUGAAAUAGAAUCAUGACAAUCAUAAGGAUAAUAUCCUGAGUUAGAAUUUUAUCAUUACUUACAAGUUUAUCCUUUUCUGUAUGAAAAAAGUAUAUCCCAGGCUUCAGCACUCUGUUUGCCAGAGUUGUCUCUCUCUAAAGAAAAAAAGAUCGAAGAGUAAACUUGGAAUGUGUAAGCAAGAGGUUCUUCUUUUGAAGAAAAUGUUAUAAAAACAUUUUGUUUCCUGUAGAAACCUAAUUUCCCUCAAAGUGGAAAUUCUUCACAAUUUAUCAGCAGAAAACUUUCAGGAUGGCUUUCAUCAGUGGUCUUGCUAACUAUUUUGUUGUUUUCACUGAUCAGCAUGCUCCUAGAAGUAUUCUGGAAAGAGUGACAAGAUUUAUACGUGCAUGGAGAAAUAAAAAGAUCAAAUGCAGUAUUUCUUUGGGACAACAUGAAGGUCACCAGAGGAGAAAUUCUAAUGGGAAGCCUAUUCAACCCACUCUUCAAAUGAAAGGUUUUUUCACAAACCAAGAAGUAGGAAAAGGAGUUGAAAAACGAAAAGUUGAUGCUUCGAAAUGGGAUUCUCCAAGUACGUCUCAGAAAAAUGAGAGUCCCAGAAAUUCCAAUGAUUUGACAUUUCAAAAGAAUUAUUCUUGCAAGUCACUGCAAAGUAAAGAUCAGUUAGCACCCACAGAAUUUGGAAAGAUUGCAAUAAAAGAAAAUGAAGCAUCUGCAGCUGAAGCUGGAAGUGGGCCUGACACUGGCUCGAAAGUUGGAGUUCAAAUAGAAAAAUCAGUCCCUCAGAAGCAGUGUGAACCACCUCUAGGAAAAGAGAAUCAGAAAGAAGGAAAGAAAGGAUAAAGUUACUUUAGAAACAACCAGCAUACCAGAACAAAUGGCACCUAAGGAACAAGUUAAGUCUCUUUCUGCUCCAUUUUUGAACAAGAAAAGAACGCCUGAAGUACUAGAAUCCAGUAGCAAAUCUCCUGGUGAUGACAUACAUUCAAGUCCAGAAACUAAAUGGAAAAAAACUUGUAAAAAAACAUGGAUUGAGGAGGAAAAGGAAGUUUGUGGUGAAAUCUAUGAAAAGGGUAAUGUUGCUACUCCGACAAAAGACAACCUCCACGAAGAUGACUUUAAAGAAUCAAAAAAAAUACUAGAAACAUCUCCUACUUUGGCAAAAAAAUUAAGGGAUUCUGUGGAAAAGGAGAAACAUAAAUGCCCUGUCAGGGUAAGAAUCCUUAAAUCAUUUGCUGGGCAAACGGAACAAGAUCGGCCUUUCCACAAAAAUGUUCCUGUGUUUCCUACCAAUGUGUGCUCACAAAAAAGCACCCUGCAACUUAAGAAUGAUAAUGAGCCAGAAAUUGAAUGUACUUAUGUUGCAAAAAAGCCUGAACUUAUACCUCCAAGAAAAUGUAAGGAGAAAACAAAACGUAAAACAAUCUUGUUUGAAAAUAGUCAUCACAGCGUCAGUAACUCUACAGAUGAGUUAAACCGUUGGAGACCCUCCCUUCCUUAUAGGGAGAAAAUCGCAAAAAUGGACAUAGAUUCCUCAUUAAAACAAUGUACACAAAGAAUUAAAAUUCAAUUUGAAAUAAUACAAGCAAAAUCCCCGACUUUGGAGAAAGAAAAAAUACCACCACAAAAAGAGGUAGAUUCACCUUCUGCCACUCUAUAUUCUAUUUAAUUUUCCUCUUCAUCAAUCAUCCUGUGAAAUUGAUUUUUCACUUCCAAUGCUUGCUAUUUGUACAACAUGUUUUGAAAACUGCCUUAAGGAAAAUACCCAGAAAGCCUUUUUGAUAGUUUUUAUUUUGGUCAUCUAAAUUACCCCACUUUCUAAAUGAGACAUACAAAUUGUAAUAUUAGACUAGAUAGCCAAAAGAACAAGGAUAAGCCUAAAGAUAAUUAAGAAAGAGUCCUAAAAGAAAUAUAAUGAACUCAGAUUCUCUUUUAUGCAAAUCCUUGUAAUAUAUGACAUUUGAAAGAAUUUUGCUUUCUAUGGACAUUUUUAUCUUCUUAACUAAAUGUAAGGUGUUGUGACUUAAAAUACUGAAAAUAUAAGAUAAUUUGGGAAAUUUCUAACAAAUGUAUAUGAUGCAGGUAAUACUUUUAUGGUCAUCUGAUACUUCAUCUUUACUGAUUUUACUAAAAUCAUUACUUUUUUGCAUUUCAAAACAAAGUUAAACACAAUUUUGCUAAUUGAUCAUCUAAAAUCAGUUUUCAUUGGGCAUUAAUAUGCUAUUUCUCCAUUUAUCCCACUAGUAAUAAAUUAUAGGAUUGGUAUUUAAACCUCAAUCUUCUGCCUUCAAGUUCAGUGCUCUUCUUCUUGUAUUUAGUUUUUCAAACUAUGUUUUUAUUCGCUAUAGAUAUUUGCAUAAUUGACUAGCUGUAGAUAUUGUUAUACUAGCACUGUUAAUUCGUUGAAUUUUAUUUUGGGGGGAAGGAGCAUUGACAGUCAUUGAGUCAAGCCCCAUUAUCUUAUGAAUGAGAAAUUUUAGGCUCAGGAAAGUUAGAUUGCAUGGCCAGGGUCUUUUGGCUCCUCUAUACCUUAACAUGCCUGUCUUAUAAUUAUCUUUUCACAAUAAUAGCUGAGCAUAUAAUACAGGAGAGUGUAUACAAAUCCAAAGACACUUAGACUUAGAUUUAAGAGCUUCUUGUAAUACAGACUAGUUAUGUUAACCUGGGCAAAUCCAUUGACCUUACCAGGCAAUUGAUACUAGGAGCAGAGGCUGAUCUGACUUUGUGGAGGGAGUUUCCUCACUUGAAGUUACUCACACUGAUAAACUCACAGGUUCUGUCCAAAAACAAUGAGAAUAAUAUUUGUAUAACUCUCAAAUUACAAAGUCAUCUCAUUUGAUCUUCAUUACUAUUCCUUAUAAAGGGGUGUCACCCAUAUUUGUGGACCAGGCAAAAGAAGCUCAGCCAAUACAAAUGACUUUGAAAAAUGGUCAAUUGGGUUACUUAAUGUAUCUGUGCUUCAGGUUCCUAAUCUACAAAAUGAUAGCAUUACACUAAGAUUUUUUUUCCUAUUUUUUUUUUUUUGUGCUUCUGGGAAUAUGAAAAGGGAAUAGCAUUGAUUUUCCAUAAGGUAGCAGUCACAGUGCCUAAAUCUCACUCUACUCAAUUUCCUAUGUUGUUAAUCCAGUAUUUCAGUGACUACUUCAAGUUUUAUUGUUUGUUUUUUGCUUUGGUUUAUUUUUUUAACUUUACAGUAAGAAAUAAGAAAUGAGAAAUGGAAUGGGAAACCCCUAUCAUGUGGUUGUACAUAAAAUUGGUCUGUCUUUGCAUUGUGGGAACAUGGUAGAAAAGGCCAAAAAUAAAUCAGAUAUUGUAUCUUUACCCUGUCUGCUUUUUAAAGGAGAGAGAGAAGAGAACUUGAAAGUAGAAUGAGAAAACAAAAUGAGAUAGAAAUUGAGCUAUCAUUUUGACAUUUGAGUCGAUAUUUCAACUUUCAAACAAAAUUUAUAAAACUAUGACCAUUUUAUAUCCAAAUAAAAAGUGAAGAUGAUAUAGAGGAUAACAUGUAUUUCAAAAUAAAAUUGAAAAAUGAAAGGCAGUGUGGCAUAUUUCAUAGGAAGCUAAGAAUAUUUAGUUCAAGUCCCAUUUCUGACAUAUGUAGACAAGUCACUUAAUACUUAUAUUCUAGAUUUUCGUAACAUUGGUAGAGGGAAUUUUCUCUUCAGGUAGUUCCUUGUACUAGUUAAACCACAAGUCUAGUUCUUAACCCAAGUAAGUAUGUAAAUAUAUAUGUAUAAAAGUGUGCAUGUAUACACACACACACACACACACA